AGCCACAGCCAUAUCACCCUGCAUCCCAAGAACGGUUACUCACUGGAGCUAAGUAGGCUGAGCCUGGUCAGUACCAGGAUAGGAGACCAGAUGAGAAAAUUAGGUUGCUGUUGAAA
RNAcentral lists this ribosomal RNA (116 nucleotides) under Danio rerio (zebrafish). Lineage: Eukaryota; Metazoa; Chordata; Actinopteri; Cypriniformes; Danionidae. The record is from RNAcentral.